UACAGAGGGGGCAAGCGUUGUCCGGAAUUACUGGGCGUAAAGCGCACGUAGGCGGAUCAUUUAGUCAGGGGUGAAAUCCCGGGGCUCAACCUCGGAACUGCCUUUGAUACUGAUGGUCUCGAGUCCGAUAGAGGUGAGUGGAAUUCCUAGUGUAGAGGUGAAAUUCGUAGAUAUUAGGAAGAACACCAGUGGCGAAGGCGGCUCACUGGAUCGGUACUGACGCUGAGGUGCGAAAGCGUGGGGAGCAAACAGG
RNAcentral lists this ribosomal RNA (253 nucleotides) under uncultured bacterium. Its description in RNAcentral is "partial 16S ribosomal RNA". It matches the Rfam family "Bacterial small subunit ribosomal RNA", at positions 524 to 776 of the family's 1533-position model. The record is from RNAcentral.